Molecule: long non-coding RNA, 1552 nt
Filed under: Salmo salar (Atlantic salmon)
Lineage: Eukaryota; Metazoa; Chordata; Actinopteri; Salmoniformes; Salmonidae
Description: lncRNA (ENSSSAG00000088118.1)
Source: RNAcentral
UGUGUUAAAUCUGGUGCUGAGGUGUUGCGAUUCUCCAAGGAGACACAAACAACAAAAAGCAGCCCAGACACCCCUGCUGUUUCUAAGCUUCGGCUAUUACCAUUAACUCUUGUUUACUCUUCUUCCUGCAACACCACCAGCCACACAUGUUGAUGAUCAUGAGAGACAGAACAUCAAAGCCUGAUUUAUUCAUUUAUUAAAGGAAGUUGAGGUGCCUUGCAAUGGGAGGCUGACGUGAACACACAUACUGUUGUUAUUCUCUGUGAAAACCAAAAGCACCGACCGAAUGCUUAACCAGUGAUUUUCACUAAACAGGAGGGCUGAAGCAGGAGUGGAGUAUAUCUAUUAACUUAUUGAAGACAACGAGAUGCCGAGGACCAGAGUGGUAUGUACUAAUUCGGCAGUACGUCCAACCGGCUUCACAACCGCAGACUACGUGUAACCACACCAGCCCAGGACCUCCACAUCCGGCUUCUUCACCUGCGGGAUGAUCUGAGACCAGCCACCUGGACAGCUGAUGAAACUGAGUAGUAUUUCUGUCUGUAAUAAAGCCCUUUUAAGGUGAAAAACUCAUUCUAUUAGGCUGGGCCUGGCGCCCAUGCCCAGUCAUGUGAUAUCCAUAGAUGAAGGCCUAAUAAAUGUAUUUUAAUUGACGGAUGUCCUUAUAUGAACUGUAACUCAGUAAAAUCGUUGCAUGUAUUGUUGCAUGUUGCGUUUAUAUUUUUGUUCAGUAUAGAUUUGUGGCGUGGAGAGGUUGGGGUGUUGAAAUAAACAAAUACAUACCUAACAAAUAAUUUAUCUUGUGCAAAAUUCCAUUAUGGAACAUAUUCCUUCAAUGCAAUUGCUCAGAAAGACAUUUUAUAAUACUUUUUUUUUCCAAAAAAAAUAUAGGGUCUGAAAUUGCCACCUUUUUUUUCAAUAGCCUUCAAUACCUCACCUUGCGAGGAUAAUGGUAAUGAUACUUUUUCUAUAAUGUUUUAUGAGUUGGAGAACAAUGGGAGGGAUCUUAGACCAUUCCUCCAUACAGAAUCUUUCCAGAUCCUUGAUAUCCUUCGUCUGCGCAUAUGGACUGCCCUCUUAAAUUCAAACCAGAGGUUUUUAAUGGGGUUUACGUACAGAGACUGAGAUGGCCAUUGCAAAAUGUACAUUUUGUGGUCAAUUAACCAUUUCUUUAUGGAUUAUAGUGUUCUUGGGGUUAUUGUCUUCCUGGAGGAUAAAACAUUUUUUGGUUUAAGUGUCUUGCUCAUGAGCACAUAGACAGAUUUUCACUUUGUCGGCUUGGGUAUUCCAACCAGCGACCUUUCAGUUACUGGGCCAACGCGCUAAACACUAGGCCUCCUAACAAGGUUUGUGGCAAAAAUGUCCUGUUACUGGAUAAAGUUAAUGAUGUUGUUGACCUUAACAAUAUAAAAUGUAUUUAUAUAGCCCUUCUUAUAUCAGCUGAUGUCACAAAGUGCUGUACAGAAACCCAGCCUAAAACCCCAGACAGCAAGCAAUGCAGGUGUAGAAGCACGGUGGCUAGGAAAAACUCCCUAGAAAGGCCAGAACCUAG